This 155-nucleotide ribosomal RNA is filed under the name Cordyceps tenuipes. RNAcentral describes it as "5.8S ribosomal RNA". It matches the Rfam family "5.8S ribosomal RNA". Rfam says of the family: 5.8S ribosomal RNA (5.8S rRNA) is a component of the large subunit of the eukaryotic ribosome. It is transcribed by RNA polymerase I as part of the 45S precursor that also contains 18S and 28S rRNA. Functionally, it is thought that 5.8S rRNA may be involved in ribosome translocation. Lineage: Eukaryota; Fungi; Ascomycota; Sordariomycetes; Hypocreales; Cordycipitaceae. RNAcentral also lists the same sequence under 1 other name. The record is from RNAcentral.
AACUUUCAACAACGGAUCUCUUGGUUCUGGCAUCGAUGAAGAACGCAGCGAAAUGCGAUACGUAAUGUGAAUUGCAGAAUUCCGUGAAUCAUCGAAUCUUUGAACGCACAUUGCGCCCGCCAGCAUUCUGGCGGGCAUGCCUGUUCGAGCGUCAU